CGGACGGGUGAGUAACGCGUGAGAAUCUGGCUCUAGGUCUGGGACAACCACUGGAAACGGUGGCUAAUACCGGAUGUGCCGAGAGGUGAAAGGUUAACUGCCUAGAGAUGAGCUCGCGUCUGAUUAGCUAGUUGGAAGUGUAAUGGACUCCCAAGGCGACGAUCAGUAGCUGGUCUGAGAGGACGAUCAGCCACACUGGGACUGAGACACGGCCCAGACUCCUACGGGAGGCAGCAGUGGGGAAUUUUCCGCAAUGGGCGAAAGCCUGACGGAGCAAUACCGCGUGAGGGAGGAAGGCUCUUGGGUCGUAAACCUCUUUUCUCAGGGAAGAACAAAAUGACGGUACCUGAGGAAUAAGCAUCGGCUAACUCCGUGCCAGCAGCCGCGGUAAUACGGAGGAUGCAAGCGUUAUCCGGAAUGAUUGGGCGUAAAGCAUCCGCAGGUGGCUAUGUAAGUCUGCUGUUAAAGAGUCUAGCUCAACUAGAUAAGAGCAGUGGAAACUACAAGGCUAGAGUACGUUCGGGGCAGAGGGAAUUCCUGGUGUAGCGGUGAAAUGCGUAGAGAUCAGGAAGAACACCGGUGGCGAAGGCGCUCUGCUAGGCCGUAACUGACACUGAGGGACGAAAGCUAGGGGAGCGAAUGGGAUUAGAUACCCCAGUAGUC
Molecule: ribosomal RNA, 663 nt
Filed under: uncultured cyanobacterium
Lineage: Bacteria; Bacillati; Cyanobacteriota
Description: bacterial SSU rRNA
Rfam family: Bacterial small subunit ribosomal RNA
Source: RNAcentral